CGAGGAAUAUUGCGCAAUGGGCGCAAGCCUGACGCAGUAACGCCGCGUGCGGGAUGAAGACCUUCGGGUUGUAAACCGCUUUUCCUGCGGACGAGUGAGGACGGUACGCAGGGAAUCAGUCUCGGCUAACUACGUG
Molecule: ribosomal RNA, 136 nt
Filed under: uncultured bacterium
Lineage: Bacteria
Description: partial 16S rRNA
Rfam family: Bacterial small subunit ribosomal RNA
Source: RNAcentral